RNAcentral lists this ribosomal RNA (1435 nucleotides) under metagenome. RNAcentral describes it as "bacterial SSU rRNA". It matches the Rfam family "Archaeal small subunit ribosomal RNA". The record is from RNAcentral.
ACCCGUUGAUCCUGCGGGAGAUUGCUGCUAUCGGGAUACGAUUAAGCCAUGCAAGUCAGGGGACCUUCGGGUCACCGGCAGACCGCUGAGUAACACGUCAGUAACCUGCCCUAUGGUCUGGGAUAGCUUCGGGAAACUGAGGGUAAUACCGGAUAGAAACAGGUGCCUGGAAUGGCCCUGUUUUGAAAGAUUACGCCGUAGGAUGGGCUGGCGACUGAUUAGGCUGAUGGUGGGGUAAUGGCCCACCAUACCGACGAUCAGUAGGGGCCAUGAGAGUGGUAGCCCCCAGAAGGACACUGAGAUACUGGUCCUAGCCCCACGGGGUGCAGCAGGCGCGAAACCUCUACAAUGCACGAAAGUGUGAUAGGGGAAUCCCGAGUGCUUAUGCACUGCAUAGGCUUUUCUUAAGAGUAAAUAUCUUAGGGAAUAAGUGGUGGGAAAGACCGGUGCCAGCAGCCGCGGUAACCCCGGCGCCACAAGUGGCAAUCGAUUUUAUUGGGUCUAAAGCGUCCGUAGUCGGCUUGAUCAAUCUCUUGUGAAAUCGUCCAGCUUAACUGGACGGCGUGCGGGAGAGACUGUCAAGCUAGGGACCGGGAGGGGCCAGAGGUAUGCCUGAGGGAGUGGUAAAAUGUGAUAAUCUCAGGUAGACCACCUGUGGCGAAGGCGUCUGGCUAGAACGGAUCCGACGAUGAGGGACGAAGGCUAGGGGAGCGAACCGGAUUAGAUACCCGAGUAGUCCUAGCAGUAAACGCUGUGAGUUAGGUGUUGCGUAUUCUUUUUGGAUAUGCAGUGUCGAAGCGAAGGCGCUAAACUCACCACCUGGGAAGUACGGUCGCAAGACUGAAACUUAAAGGAAUUGGCGGGGGAGCACUACAAGGGGUGCGGCGUGCGGUUUAAUCUAACUCAACGCAGAAAAUCUCACCAGCAGCGACGGCAGAAUGAAGGUCAGUCUGAAGGGCUUACCUGACGAGCCGAGAGGUAGUGCAUGGCCGUCGUCAGCUCGUGCCGUAAGGUGUCCUGUUAAGUCAGGUAACGAGCGAGACCUGUGCUUACAAUUGCCAGCGUGUUCUUCGGAAUGAACGGGCACAUUGUAAGGACCGCCCUGGAAACGGGGAGGAAGGUGCAGGCUACGGUAGGUCUGUAUGCUCCGAAUCUGCUGGGCUACACGCGCGCAACAAUGGUAAGGACAAUGGGAUACUACUCCGAAAGGAGACGUUAAACCUCGAAACCUUAUCUCAGUCCAGAUCGUGGGUUGGAACUCACCCACGUGACGUUGGAAUCCCUAGUAAUCGGACGUCAUCAUCGUCCGGUGAAUAUGUCCCUGCUCCUUGCACACACCGCCCGUCAAACCACUCGAGCAGAGUUGUAGUGAGUCCUGGUUCUUUGAUCAGGCCGAACUGGAGCUCAGUGAGAUGGGUUAAGUCGUCACAAGGUC